UUAGAGGUCAUUUUAAGUGUUUUGAAAGACUUUAAAAAAUGUACAGUCGUGAUAAUAGAUUAAAAAACUACAGCUUCACGCCUCAUAGAUUAACUGUGUGGUUUCCUUUACUCAUAGAACUACCUGUUAGAUCUGUGGGAAAGAACUACAAGACAGAG
RNAcentral lists this small nucleolar RNA (158 nucleotides) under Balaenoptera musculus (blue whale). The record is from RNAcentral. Lineage: Eukaryota; Metazoa; Chordata; Mammalia; Artiodactyla; Balaenopteridae.